UUUGCCCCGCGCGAAAAUUUCCUCCCUCGCUUGCGUCGCGACGGUGCCACCGCCACCAGCGACGCCGCCUCUCUGAGCGACCCUCCCUCUGCCCAAACCAAGAUUGCGCAGUUUGAAAAUGUAAGCGGAGACCGAUUUAUUCUCUGCCUUGUGAGGAUGUAAGUACCACAUAAUUACUCUGCCCAGCAACGCCACCGUCGACCCUCCCAUCCUCUCCCCGAGUCUCCUCGUGCGGCUUCCUCGCCCUCCCCGAGAUUUUCUUGGAUUUUCACGGCAAACAGUUAAUACCAAUGAUUUACACUAGUAAAUCAGACAAGCUCAAGAAAUGGUUCUCGCUAAUUGAUGCGGUAACGUUGUCACAUAAGAGGGUUCUGCUACCUGUUAAAAAACUUUGCGAGUCUUCUCUUGUUAGCAGCAAGUUGCAUAGGACACUGUAUGGCUUUAUUCUAUUUGAAGUUUCAUGGAACAAUGUCCGAGGCAUUAACUACUUGAAUGAGCUUCAGGGAAGACACUGCUUGCAAAAACAGUAGCUCGAUUUGUGAAUGUGCCCUUUGUCAUCGCUGAUGCAACAACUUUGACACACUU
Molecule: long non-coding RNA, 585 nt
Organism: Juglans microcarpa x Juglans regia
Lineage: Eukaryota; Viridiplantae; Streptophyta; Magnoliopsida; Fagales; Juglandaceae
Exons: 3
Source: RefSeq, a predicted model, not a curated record